CUGCGAAUGGCUCAUUAAAUCAGUUAUCGUUUAUUUGAUAGUACCUUUACCUGGAUAACCGUGGUAAUUCUAGAGCUAAUACAUGCUAAAAACCUCGACUUCGGAAGGGGUGUAUUUAUUAGAUAAAAAACCAAUGCCCUUCGGGGCUCCUUGGUGAUUCAUAAUAACUUAACGAAUCGCAUGGCCUUGCGCCGGCGAUGGUUCAUUCAAAUUUCUGCCCUAUCAACUUUCGAUUGUAAGAUAGAGGCUUACAAUGGUCUUAACGGGUGACGGGGAAUUAGGGUUCUAUUCCGGAGAGGGAGCCUGAGAAACGGCUACCACAUCCAAGGAAGGCAGCAGGCGCGCAAAUUACCCAAUCCCGACACGGGGAGGUAGUGACAAUAAAUACUGAUACGGGGCUCUUUCGGGUCUCGUAAUUGGAAUGAGUACAAUCUAAAUCCCUUAACGAGGAACAAUUGGAGGGCAAGUCUGGUGCCAGCAGCCGCGGUAAUUCCAGCUCCAAUAGCGUAUAUUAAAGUUGUUGCCGUUAAAAAGCUCGUAGUUGAACCUUGGACCUGGCUGAUCUGUCCUCCUAAUCGAGCGCACGGAUUCGGUCGGGUCUUUCCUUCUGGGGAACCUCAUGCCCUUCACUGGGUGUGCUGGGGAACCAGGACUUUUACCUUGAAAAAAUUAGAGUGUUCAAAGCAGGCCUUUGCUCGAAUACAUUAGCAUGGAAUAAUAGAAUAGGACAUCGGUUCUAUUUUGUUGGUUUCUAGGACCGCUGUAAUGAUUAAUAGGGAUAGUCGGGGGCGUCAGUAUUCAAUUGUCAGAGGUGAAAUUCUUGGAUUUAUUGAAGACUAACUACUGCGAAAGCAUUCGCCAAGGAUGUUUUCAUUAAUCAGUGAACGAAAGUUAGGGGAUCGAAGACGAUCAGAUACCGUCGUAGUCUUAACCAUAAACUAUGCCGACUAGGGAUCGGACGGUGGUUUUUUUAUGCCCCGUUCGGCACCUUACGAGAAAUCAAAGUGU
RNAcentral lists this ribosomal RNA (1008 nucleotides) under Capronia epimyces. Its description in RNAcentral is "SSU rRNA". It matches the Rfam family "Eukaryotic small subunit ribosomal RNA", at positions 87 to 1106 of the family's 1831-position model. Lineage: Eukaryota; Fungi; Ascomycota; Eurotiomycetes; Chaetothyriales; Herpotrichiellaceae. The record is from RNAcentral.